CCUACGGGUGGCAGCAGUGGGGAAUAUUGCACAAUGGGGGCAACCCUGAUGCAGCGACGCCGCGUGAGUGAAGAAGGAAUUCGGUAUGUAAAGCACUAUCAGCGGGGAGGAAAAUGACGGUACCUGAGUACGAAGCCCCGGCUAACUACGUGCCAGCAGCCACCGUAAUACGUAGGGGGCAAGCGUUAUCCGGAUUUACUGGGUGUAAAGGGAGCGUAGACGGCAGUGCAAGUCUGGAGUGAAAGGCGGGGGCUCAACCCGCGGACUGCUCUGGAAACUGUACGGCUGGAGUGCAGGAGAGGUAAGUGGAAUUCCGAGUGUAGCGGUGAAAUGCGUAGAGAUUAGGAGGAAUACCAGUGGCGAAGGCGGCUGACUGGACGGUAACUGACGCUGAGGUUCGAAAGCGUGGGGAGCAAACAGGAUUAGAUACCCCUGUAGUC
This 440-nucleotide ribosomal RNA is filed under the name uncultured bacterium. RNAcentral describes it as "partial 16S ribosomal RNA". It matches the Rfam family "Bacterial small subunit ribosomal RNA", at positions 338 to 795 of the family's 1533-position model. The record is from RNAcentral.